GUGGGGAAUAUUGCACAAUGGGCGCAAGCCUGAUGCAGCAACGCCGCGUGAGGGACGACGGCCUUCGGGUUGUAAACCUCUUUUAGUAGGGAAGAAGCGAAAGUGACGGUACCUGCAGAAAAAGCACCGGCUAACUACGUGCCAGCAGCCGCGGUAAUACGUAGGGUGCAAGCGUUAUCCGGAAUUAUUGGGCGUAAAGAGCUCGUAGGCGGUUUGUCACGUCUGCUGUGAAAACUGGAGGCUCAACCUCCAGCCUGCAGUGGGUACGGGCAGACUAGAGUGCGGUAGGGGAGAUUGGAAUUCCUGGUGUAGCGGUGGAAUGCGCAGAUAUCAGGAGGAACACCGAUGGCGAAGGCAGAUCUCUGGGCCGUAACUGACGCUGAGGAGCGAAAGCAUGGGGAGCGAACAGGAUUAGAAACCCUAGUAGUCC
RNAcentral lists this ribosomal RNA (430 nucleotides) under uncultured bacterium. RNAcentral describes it as "bacterial SSU rRNA". It matches the Rfam family "Bacterial small subunit ribosomal RNA", at positions 354 to 796 of the family's 1533-position model. The record is from RNAcentral.